Molecule: ribosomal RNA, 465 nt
Filed under: uncultured bacterium
Lineage: Bacteria
Description: partial 16S ribosomal RNA
Rfam family: Bacterial small subunit ribosomal RNA
Source: RNAcentral
CCUACGGGUGGCUGCAGUGGGGAAUUUUGCGCAAUGCUCGUAAGAGUGACGCAGCGACGCCGCGUGAAUGACGAAGGCCCACGGGACGUAAAGUUCCUUCGACCGGGAAGCAAAUGCCUAGAAGUAACUGCGUAUGUGUUGACGGUACCUGUAUAAGCAGCCCCGGCUAACUCCGUGCCAGAAGCCGCGGUAAUACGGAGGGGGCGAGCGGUGUUCGGAGUGACUGGGCGUAAAGAGCACGUAGGCGGUGUUGUAAGUCAUUAGUCAAAGACUAGAGCUCAACUUUAGUAAGGCUAGUGAUACUAUAAUACUAGAGUAUCAGAGAGGAUUGCAGAAUUCCUGGUGUAGCGGUGAAAUGCGUAGAUAUCAGGAAGAAUACCGUUAGCGAAGGCGGCGAUCUGGCUGGAAACUGACGCUGAGGUGCGAAAGCGUGGGUAGCAAACAGGAUUAGAUACCCCAGUAGUC